Molecule: ribosomal RNA, 426 nt
Filed under: uncultured Borrelia sp.
Lineage: Bacteria; Pseudomonadati; Spirochaetota; Spirochaetia; Spirochaetales; Borreliaceae
Description: bacterial SSU rRNA
Rfam family: Bacterial small subunit ribosomal RNA
Source: RNAcentral
GAAUCUUCCGCAAUGGGCGAAAGCCUGACGGAGCGACACUGCGUGAACGAAGAAGGUCGAAAGAUUGUAAAGUUCUUUUAUAAAUGAGGAAUAAGCUUUGUAGGAAAUGACAAAGUGAUGACGUUAGUUUAUGAAUAAGCCCCGGCUAAUUACGUGCCAGCAGCCGCGGUAAUACGUAAGGGGCGAGCGUUGUUCGGGAUCAUUGGGCGUAAAGGGUGAGUAGGCGGAUAUGUAAGUCUAUGUGUAAAAUACCACAGCUCAACUGUGGAACUAUGCUAGAAACUGCAUGACUAGAGUCUGAUAGGGGAAGUUAGAAUUCCUGGUGUAAGGGUGGAAUCUGUUGAUAUCAGGAAGAAUACCAGAGGCGAAGGCGAACUUCUAGGUCAAGACUGACGCUGAGUCACGAAAGCGUAGGGAGCAAACAGG